UUUAAUUCGAAGCAACGCGAAGAACCUUACCAGGUCUUGACAUCCUCUGACAACCCUAGAGAUAGGGCUUCUCCUUCGGGAGCAGAGUGACAGGUGGUGCAUGGUUGUCGUCAGCUCGUGUCGUGAGAUGUUGGGUUAAGUCCCGCAACGAGCGCAACCCUUGAUCUUAGUUGCCAUCAUUUAGUUGGGCACUCUAAGGUGACUGCCGGUGACAAACCGGAGGAAGGUGGGGAUGACGUCAAAUCAUCAUGCCCCUUAUGACCUGGGCUACACACGUGCUACAAUGGACGGUACAAAGAGCUGCAAGACCGCGAGGUAGAGCUAAUCUCAUAAAACCGUUCUCAGUUCGGAUUGUAGGCUGCAACUCGCCUACAUGAAGCUGGAAUCGCUAGUAAUCGCGGAUCAGCAUGCCG
This 413-nucleotide ribosomal RNA is filed under the name uncultured bacterium. Its description in RNAcentral is "bacterial SSU rRNA". It matches the Rfam family "Bacterial small subunit ribosomal RNA", at positions 945 to 1359 of the family's 1533-position model. The record is from RNAcentral.